This 497-nucleotide ribosomal RNA is filed under the name uncultured bacterium. RNAcentral's name for it is "partial 16S ribosomal RNA". It matches the Rfam family "Bacterial small subunit ribosomal RNA", at positions 28 to 507 of the family's 1533-position model. The record is from RNAcentral.
GAUGAACGCUGGCGGCGUGCCUAAUACAUGCAAGUCGAGCGAACAGAUGAGGAGCUUGCUCCUCUGACGUUAGCGGCGGACGGGUGAGUAACACGUGGAUAACCUACCUAUAAGACUGGGAUAACUUCGGGAAACCGGAGCUAAUACCGGAUAAUAUAUUGAACCGCAUGGUUCAAUAGUGGAAGACGGUUUUGCUGUCACUUAUAGAUGGAUCCGCGCCGCAUUAGCUAGUUGGUAAGGUAACGGCUUACCAAGGCAACGAUGCGUAGCCGACCUGAGAGGGUGAUCGGCCACACUGGAACUGAGACACGGUCCAGACUCCUACGGGAGGCAGCAGUAGGGAAUCUUCCGCAAUGGGCGAAAGCCUGACGGAGCAACGCCGCGUGAGUGAUGAAGGUCUUCGGAUCGUAAAACUCUGUUGUUAGGGAAGAACAAAUGUGUAAGUAACUAUGCACGUCUUGACGGUACCUAAUCAGAAAGCCACGGCUAACUACGUG